AAGUCGUAACAAGGUUUCCGUAGGUGAACCUGCGGAAGGAUCAUUCACAAUGAGUGUUUAAUGGCACUUUCAAUCCAUUACCCACCUUGUGUGCAUUGUCGGGAGGACCCUCAAUCUCCUCUCUCUCAGAUCUCUGACUGGGAGGAAAGAGGGAUCUCUUUUCAUUCAUUACUCUGUUCUUCAUAUCAGUCUACUUUAUAGAGUAUAAAACUCGAAUACAACUUUCAACAACGGAUCUCUUGGCUCUC
RNAcentral lists this unclassified non-coding RNA (248 nucleotides) under fungal sp. RNAcentral's name for it is "partial internal transcribed spacer region". The stretch from base 1 to 46 matches the Rfam family "Eukaryotic small subunit ribosomal RNA", at positions 1786 to 1831 of the family's 1831-position model. Lineage: Eukaryota; Fungi. The record is from RNAcentral.